AGAGUUUGAUCCUGGCUCAGGAUGAACGCUGGCGGCGUGCCUAACACAUGCAAGUCGAGCGGAGAUUAAGAAGUUUACUUUUGAUUCUUAGCGGCGGACGGGUGAGUAACGCGUGGGCAACCUACCCUGUACAGGGGGAUAACAAUGGGAAACCAUUGCUAAUACCCCAUAACGCCUUAGAGGGGCAUCCCUUAAAGGUCAAAGAACUUCGGUACAGGAUGGGCCCGCGUCUGAUUAGCUAGUUGGUGAGGUAAUGGCUCACCAAGGCGACGAUCAGUAGCCGGCCUGAGAGGGUGAACGGCCACACUGGAACUGAGACACGGUCCAGACUCCUACGGGAGGCAGCAGUGGGGAAUAUUGCACAAUGGGCGAAAGCCUGAUGCAGCAACGCCGCGUGAGCGAUGAAGGCCUUCGGGUCGUAAAGCUCUGUCCUAAGGGAAGAUAAUGACGGUACCUUAGGAGGAAGCCCCGGCUAACUACGUGCCAGCAGCCGCGGUAAUACGUAGGGGGCAAGCGUUAUCCGGAAUCAUUGGGCGUAAAGGGUGCGUAGGCUGCCCUAUAGGUCAGAGGUCAAAGGCUACGGCUCAACCGUAGUAAGCCUUUGAAACUGUAGGGCUUGAGUGCAGGAGAGGAGAGUGGAAUUCCUAGUGUAGCGGUGAAAUGCGUAGAUAUUAGGAGGAACACCAGUGGCGAAGGCGACUCUCUGGACUGCAACUGACGCUGAGGCACGAAAGCGUGGGUAGCGAACAGGAUUAGAUACCCUGGUAGUCCACGCCGUAAACGAUGAGUGCUAGGUGUUGGGGGUAUCGACCCCCCCUGUGCCGGAGUUAACGCAAUAAGCACUCCGCCUGGGGAGUACGGCCGCAAGGUUGAAACUCAAAGGAAUUGACGGGGGCCCGCACAAGCAGCGGAGCAUGUGGUUUAAUUCGAAGCAACGCGUAGAACCUUACCAGGGCUUGACAUGUAGCGAAUCCUGCAGAGAUGCGGGAGUGCCCUUCGGGGAGCGCUAACACAGGUGGUGCAUGGUUGUCGUCAGCUCGUGUCGUGAGAUGUUGGGUUAAGUCCCGCAACGAGCGCAACCCCUAUUGUAUGUUGCCAUCAGGUAAAGCUGGGCACUCAUGCGAGACUGCCGGUGACAAACCGGAGGAAGGUGGGGAUGACGUCAAAUCAUCAUGCCCCUUAUGUCCUGGGCGACACACGUGCUACAAUGGCCGUCACAGCGCGAACCGAGCCCGCGAGGGGGAGGAAACCGCGAAAGGCGGUCGUAGUUCGGAUCGCAGGCUGCAACUCGCCUGCGUGAAGCCGGAGUUGCUAGUAAUCGCGGAUCAGAACGCCGCGGUGAAUACGUUCCCGGGCCUUGUACACACCGCCC
This 1372-nucleotide ribosomal RNA is filed under the name bacterium enrichment culture clone heteroA13_4W. RNAcentral's name for it is "bacterial SSU rRNA". It matches the Rfam family "Bacterial small subunit ribosomal RNA". The record is from RNAcentral.